CUUGUCCUACGGGACGCAGCAGUGGGGAAUAUUGGGCAAUGGGCGCAAGCCUGACCCAGCAACGCCGCGUGAAGGAAGAAGGCUUUCGGGUUGUAAACUUCUUUUCUGAGGGACGAUAGUGACGGUACCUCAGGAAUAAGCCACGGCUAACUACGUGCCAGCAGCCGCGGUAAUACGUAGGUGGCAAGCGUUGUCCGGAAUUACUGGGUGUAAAGGGAGCGUAGGCGGGAAGCCAAGUCAGCUGUGAAAACUACGGGCUUAACCUGUAGACUGCAGUUGAAACUGGCUUUCUUGAGUGAAG
This 301-nucleotide ribosomal RNA is filed under the name uncultured bacterium. RNAcentral describes it as "bacterial SSU rRNA". It matches the Rfam family "Bacterial small subunit ribosomal RNA", at positions 333 to 651 of the family's 1533-position model. The record is from RNAcentral.